Molecule: long non-coding RNA, 1003 nt
Filed under: Felis catus (domestic cat)
Lineage: Eukaryota; Metazoa; Chordata; Mammalia; Carnivora; Felidae
Description: lncRNA (ENSFCAG00000048959.1)
Source: RNAcentral
CUCCUAUUGUCAAACCUUGCCCAGAAGCCUGGUAUCUUUUGCUCCCUGCCAGACUUCUCUGUGCCCCCAGCUGGCGGACACCUAGGUGGGCUGGGCUCUGAGAACUGGGAAUAUUCCUUGGCUUGACUGGGGAGUAAGGGGUGCUAGUGCCAGGAGGCCCCCGGGAGACAUUCAGUGUCCCACUCUCUCUGUUACGUUGAGAAGCCGCCCUGGCUCAUGUAUAGUCUUUGCCCCUCAUUCUUGUGUCCAGAUGCAUCACCAGUUGACCUUCGUGUUAUCUUGCCCACGCUGACGUCCCUCCCACGUGAGCAGCUGUUCCGUGGCCGUCUUAGGGCCCCCAGGCCUGUGCCCACAUAUUCUGCCAGAUAAGAUCACCCUUGGUCGUGGAUGAAAUACUUAUUUAAUGAGUGCCUAUGUGCCAGGCUGCCUGGUAGCCUUUUACAAGUUAAUUCUUGUAACAGUCAUGCCUAAUAGGUACUGUUGUUCCCAUUUUAUGGAUGAGGAAACAGAGUCCUCUUCCGUAUGGACAGGGAAAGCCAGAGCUGGGUAAUGGUGAAGCCUGAAUUCGAACUCACUGAUGCCAGACAUGUUGGUUAUCCUUGGUUAUCCAUCAAGCAGUGCAGGACGGCUCUUCUGAAACCAGCUGGGCUUGGCUCCUGGCUGCAGCUGAGUUCAGGUGUAUGUUCCACAUGUUUUAUCUAUGUGUCAUCCUGUUCGGAUGAACAACUGCUCAGGCAUGUUCCUUUCGUGGUGAAUAGCAGAAGUGCAAGGGAGCGAGUAGACACAAGUAAAGUUUCCUAACACCUUGGCUCAGAACUAGCACUAGAACUAGUCACUCCUGCCCACGUUGCAUUGGCUGGAAAAAAGUCACAUGUCCAAGUCCAACAUCAACAGGACAGGGAAAUAUAUUUGCCUCUCUCUCUCUCUCUCUCUCUCUCUCUCUCUCUCUCAUACUUCAAGGCCAUAUGGGGGAAGAGAAUAAAGAAUCGAGAGUGGAAAUCCA